Non-coding RNA from Rattus norvegicus (Norway rat), 473 nucleotides. Lineage: Eukaryota; Metazoa; Chordata; Mammalia; Rodentia; Muridae. The record is from RefSeq and is a predicted model, not a curated record.
CACCUCCUAAACACAAUUCAGGGCCACAGACAGCCCUGGUUUGAUGAAAGGGGAGAGUCCACACAGAUCUUCUCAAGCCUGGCCAGAUGGGGCCUCCUGGACCUGAUCCCUCCAGAAUUGAGCAUCUGCUGUGGCCAGCUGGUACCGGGGACGGAACCUGGGACCUUCUAUGGCUGCCAGUGAGCUACAAUCCUAGCCUAUUGUGAAAACACUUCACCCAGUCCCGAGGGCCUGCAAGUCCUCUCCACCACCACUUCCACUACUACCACCUACCAAGUGCUGGGAGUAGAACCCAGGGCCUCUUACAUAUGGGGCCGAUGUUCUACCAUGGACCACACUCCAGCUCACCACUACCUUUAAAACCUCCAACCUGUUCCUCCCAAGACCUUUCCUGGACACUCUGAAGCUAUAGAUGUAGGCUUUUAUCCGAGUCUUCUGGGCACUGUUAGUAUCCUUUAAACCUUUGUGAUUAA